Phyllostomus discolor (pale spear-nosed bat) is the source of this 1172-nucleotide long non-coding RNA. RefSeq lists it as uncharacterized. The record is from RefSeq and is a predicted model, not a curated record. The transcript is spliced from 3 exons. NCBI's taxonomy places the organism in Eukaryota, Metazoa, Chordata, Mammalia, Chiroptera, Phyllostomidae.
GGUCCAGGUGAGGAAAACCGGCCCCUCAUUUGAAAAGGAAAGGCAGCCAUGGUUCUUGUCAGCCUGGGUUGGGUUAGCAAGAGAAUGGUUCAGCAAGUUGACAAACAGUUCUGAGAUUUGGAUUUUGAAAGAAUGAUAUAGUUGCGAGUCAAUGAAGCCUUCAUCCUCUGCGAUGUCCUCAUCAGCCGGGGUCCAGCUUCUCCCUCAGGGGCAGAAGACCCCCAGACGCCUUCGAGGCCUCUCCAAAGUGGUUUCAUCGCUUUUGAAGUCAGAAGAGAAGUGGGCUUCCAGGUCUCAGAAAAUAUUUAAAUAAAUAACAAUAUGUUCACGUUUACCUCAAUGCUGUUAUGACAUGGAGUUGUCAGUGAACUUAUUUAUUUUGGUGAAGGACAGGUGCCCCAAAGGCAACUAUAACUCCACCCAGUAGAUCAGAGACAUGAAGGGGAUAAAAUCCUGUUUUCAGAAAAAAGCAUCAAGCAAUCAUACGUGGCCGGACCGUUUUCAACGACACGCAGGUAAAGUUGGGGGACACAGGCCAGGCAGGCAGGGGAGGCAUGGGAUGGGUCAGCUGAGUCAGGAGGACCCACAGUCCUUCACAAGCCACACGUUUUGGGGAGAUAUGACCCUCAUUUUCCCUCUCACAAGUCUACUGCUCUAGCUAAUGAGCAAAUCAAAAGAAACAGAAAGAAUUCUAGACCUCAGUGCCAUCAAAUUAGGGGAGUUCAUUGAAGACACCACUUUUCACACAGUGCAAUCAUGGUCUCUUUGUUUUGGUCAAAAGAGUGAAAAAAUUUUUUCAAACCCAACUCCCCCGCCCUCCUCCCCGCACCCAAACCGUUCUCUGGGCCGACCAUGGUAUUUCUUAUCUUCUCUCACCGGUUUCACACACAGUCUCGUCCGUGAGGACGGGCAGCACAAUUACCGUUCAACAAGACGCAUUGAGCUUCCCACACAACAAGGGCCUUUUAAAACUGCACUUGACUUUCCAGGUGAUUCAGCAGGAGGAGCCAUUAGCGCACCAUCUAAAUCGGGACUUGGGAAGUUUAUUAAAAUUCAAUUUUUAACCUGAUCCCCAUUUCCUCUGCUUAUAAAAAAAAUCCCACUGGACUGCUUCAUAUUCAUGCUCUUAACCUGAAGGAUUCAAACGGCCAUUAUGGGAGGAAACACUUUAC